This 508-nucleotide ribosomal RNA is filed under the name uncultured bacterium. RNAcentral's name for it is "partial 16S ribosomal RNA". It matches the Rfam family "Bacterial small subunit ribosomal RNA", at positions 28 to 507 of the family's 1533-position model. The record is from RNAcentral.
GACGAACGCUGGCGGCGUGCUUAACACAUGCAAGUCGAACGGGCCUUGUCCCCUUUUUUUUUGGGGGUGGGGUUAGUGGCGAACGGGUGAGUAACACGUGAGUAACCUGCCCCUCACUUCUGGAUAACCGCUUGAAAGGGUCGCUAAUACGGGGUGUUCUGGCCUGCUCGCAUGGGUGGGUUUGGAAAGAUUCGACCGGUUUUGGUUGUUUUGGUGGGGGAGGGGCUCGCGGGCUAGCAGCUUGUUGGUGGGGUGGUGGGCUGGGAAGGCUUUGACGGGUAGCCGGCCUGAGAGGGUGGGCGGUCACAGUGGGACUGAGACACGGCCCAGACUCCUACGCGAGGCAGCAGUGGGAAAUAGUGCACAGUGGGCGCAAUCCUGAUGCAGCGACGCCGCGUGAGGGAUGGAGGCCUGCGGGUUGUGAACCUCUUUCGCCAGUGAAGAAGGUCCUGCUCUUUGUGGUGGGGUUGACGGUAGCUGGGUUAAUGAAGCGCCGGCUAACUACGUG